CGCCAGCAGCCGCGGUAAUACGUAGGUGGCGAGCGUUGUCCGGAAUUACUGGGUGUAAAGGGCGUGUAGGCGGGAGAGCAAGUCAGAUGUGAAAUUCCACGGCUUAACUGUGGCGCUGCAUCUGAAACUGUUCUUCUUGAGUGCUGGAGAGGAAAGCGGAAUUCCUAGUGUAGCGGUGAAAUGCGUAGAUAUUAGGAGGAACACCAGUGGCGAAGGCGGCUUUCUGGACAGUAACUGACGCUGAGGCGCGAAAGCGUGGGGAGCAAACAGGAUUAGAUACCCUGGUAGUCCACGCUGUAAACGAUGGAUACUAGGUGUAGGAGGUAUCGACCCCUUCUGUGCCGGAGUUAACACAAUAAGUAUCCCACCUGGGGAGUACGGCCGCAAGGUUGAAACUUAAAGGAAUUGGCGGGGGAU
RNAcentral lists this ribosomal RNA (417 nucleotides) under uncultured bacterium. Its description in RNAcentral is "bacterial SSU rRNA". It matches the Rfam family "Bacterial small subunit ribosomal RNA", at positions 506 to 921 of the family's 1533-position model. The record is from RNAcentral.